This is a non-coding RNA of Coemansia helicoidea, 73 nucleotides long. The record is from the annotation of a GenBank genome assembly. Lineage: Eukaryota; Fungi; Kickxellomycota; Kickxellomycetes; Kickxellales; Kickxellaceae.
GCCUUGAUAGCUUAACUGGUUAAAGUACGGAGCUGAAGUCUCUGGGUAGGAUGUUCAAGUCGUCCUCAAGGCA